GGCGAACGGGUGAGUAACACGUGGGUAAUCUGCCCUGCACUCUGGGAUAAGCCUGGGAAGCUGGGUCUAAUACUGGAUAUGACCUUUCUCCUUAUGGGGUUUGGUGGAAAGUUUUCGGUGUAGGAUGAGCCCGCGGCCUAUCAGCUUGUUGGUGGGGUGAUGGCCUACCAAGGCGACGACGGGUAGCCGGCCUGAGAGGGUGAUCGGCCACAUUGGGACUGAGAUACGGCCCAG
This 234-nucleotide ribosomal RNA is filed under the name uncultured Actinomycetales bacterium. Its description in RNAcentral is "partial 16S ribosomal RNA". It matches the Rfam family "Bacterial small subunit ribosomal RNA", at positions 97 to 334 of the family's 1533-position model. Lineage: Bacteria; Bacillati; Actinomycetota; Actinomycetes; Actinomycetales. The record is from RNAcentral.